This 1008-nucleotide long non-coding RNA is filed under the name Oryctolagus cuniculus (rabbit). RNAcentral's name for it is "lncRNA (ENSOCUG00000038899.1)". The record is from RNAcentral. Lineage: Eukaryota; Metazoa; Chordata; Mammalia; Lagomorpha; Leporidae.
AUGUGGAGCCUCGUCAAAUGGCAGACUGCCCCAAAGCAGCCUCCGAGAUUCCCGAGCUGUUCCGAUCGAACGAUCCCUUUUCAUCGGAAGCUCACGGGAGGCCGCGGCGCCCGAGCAGCCGCCCUUUCAAGGGGCCGCAGAACAAAGGGAGGCUGGGAUCCAAGGCGGCGGCCCCGCCCCGCGCCCCGCCAGGCUGACGUCAGCGCCGGGGCCCGGGCGGCCGCCCCGCGCUGGCCCCCGCUGUCUUCUCCCCGCGAGGCGAACCGAGGGGCAGCCCCGCGGCGCUGGAGGGAAGCGAGCGAGGCCACGCGCGGGGCCGCGGGGAGGCGGCCAUGGCCCUGGCGUGGAGGUGACGCGAGGCACCGCGCGCCCGCGCCCGCCAGCCCGGCCACCUCGGCCGCCCCGCUCCUCCCCGCGACGCCCCUAGCUCUGAAACAGCCUCACCGGACGAAAGCCGAGCUCGCGGCAGGGUCCGCAGGCGGCGGCGGCGCUUCCGAGAGGAUGGAGCCGGAGACACCGGGAGCAGCCCACUGCCUGCAGCAGCGUCCACUGCGCCAGCGGCUGAGCUCCUCCCAGCGCCGGAACUGGAAGCGCCCAGCGCCACGCCCCGCCCCCUCCCCUGGGGCCGGGCGGCGCGCGCCCCCUGCUGGUCCCUGCGAGCACUGCGGCCCUCCCGGGCUGGCUCGGGUGUGGCUGGUAUUCGUUGUCUCAGCGGUCAGCGGCCACACUCCUGGCUCUCUAGGCAUUCGGAGGAAAUGCCCCGGGCAGGUGCGGUGCAGGGCAUCCCGGCAGAAACUGCGAACUCGUUGCCUCAAGAAUAGAUUUUGGAUUCCCUAUGCUCAGUUCAGAAUUUUACAGUCAAGCCUCGAUUCCCACUGUGUGUGUGACUGCAGACAAAUUGCAGCCGGAUCUGGGAUUCCUGACUCAGAAAUGUGUGAACUGAGACGGAACCCAUUAAAAUCCGUUUUGCAAAGGCAUUUCUCUAAUAUCUGUAACUCUAGUUUGUAA